CUCCUACACGUUAGCAUUAACA
Molecule: microRNA, 22 nt
Filed under: Taeniopygia guttata (zebra finch)
Lineage: Eukaryota; Metazoa; Chordata; Aves; Passeriformes; Estrildidae
Description: tgu-miR-155-3p
Gene: tgu-miR-155-3p
Source: miRBase by way of RNAcentral